RNAcentral lists this ribosomal RNA (497 nucleotides) under uncultured bacterium. Its description in RNAcentral is "partial 16S ribosomal RNA". It matches the Rfam family "Bacterial small subunit ribosomal RNA", at positions 28 to 507 of the family's 1533-position model. The record is from RNAcentral.
GAUGAACGCUGGCGGCGUGCCUAAUACAUGCAAGUCGAGCGAACAGAUGAGGAGCUUGCUCCUCUGACGUUAGCGGCGGACGGGUGAGUAACACGCGGAUAACCUACCUAUAAGACUGGGAUAACUUCGGGAAACCGGAGCUAAUACCGGAUAAUAUAUUGAACCGCAUGGUUCAAUAGUGAAAGACGGUUUUGCUGUCACUUAUAGAUGGAUCCGCGCCGCAUUAGCUAGUUGGUAAGGUAACGGCUUACCAAGGCAACGAUGCGUAGCCGACCUGAGAGGGUGAGCGGCCACACGGGAAGGGAGACACGGUCGAGACUCCGAGGGGAGGCAGCAGUAGGGAAUCUUCCGCAAUGGGCGAAAGCCUGACGGAGCAACGCCGCGUGAGUGAUGAAGGUCUUCGGAUCGUAAAACUCUGUUAUUAGGGAAGAACAAAUGUGUAAGUAACUAUGCACGUCUUAACGGUACCUAAUCAGAAAGCCACGGCUAACUACGUG